GGGUUUCGAAUAAACACUUCAUGCAUUAACAAUAAAUACCCUUGUUAGAAUUUUUCAUAAAAGAGAAUAAAGAAAGAAAUAAUCUAAUCGAAGGAUUUACCAAUACUUAUGUAAUCUCGAGGGUAAGGAGACUCAACGAUCCUUGCAGUGAUUCGAUUAAAGAGGAGGAUUCUCAACUAACAAAUAAAAGAAAAUAAUAGAAAUG
Molecule: long non-coding RNA, 205 nt
Filed under: Gossypium barbadense (sea-island cotton)
Lineage: Eukaryota; Viridiplantae; Streptophyta; Magnoliopsida; Malvales; Malvaceae
Description: long non-coding RNA (GBAR_LNC007067)
Source: RNAcentral